This 189-nucleotide long non-coding RNA is filed under the name Fukomys damarensis (Damara mole-rat). RNAcentral describes it as "lncRNA (ENSFDAG00000028988.1)". The record is from RNAcentral. Lineage: Eukaryota; Metazoa; Chordata; Mammalia; Rodentia; Bathyergidae.
CCAGUUCUUUUUCCAUCCUGUACCAAAGCAUGGAGCAUCCGCUUGGCGUGACUCCUCAUCUUCUUCAAGUAACAGACAGAGAAGAAAAUGAAUGGGAAAGACCAUUAUCUGAGCUGGUAAUUCUUUUUGAUCCCUGCUUGCUGGUUGAGCACCAGGAAUCCAAGCUUUACCUACAUUUUGAAUGCCAAG